UACGGAGGGUGCGAGCGUUGUCCGGAAUCACUGGGCGUAAAGCGCGCGUAGGUGGCUUUGUAAGUCGGAUGUGAAAUCCCCGGGCUCAACCUGGGAACUGCAUUCGAAACUGCAUUGCUAGAGUAUGGAAGAGGGAAGUGGAAUUUCCGGUGUAGCGGUGAAAGGCGUAGAUAUCGGAAGGAACACCAGUGGCGAAAGCGACCUCCUGGUCCAAUACUGACACUCAAGUGCGAAAGCGUGGGGGGCAAACAGG
Molecule: ribosomal RNA, 253 nt
Filed under: uncultured bacterium
Lineage: Bacteria
Description: partial 16S ribosomal RNA
Rfam family: Bacterial small subunit ribosomal RNA
Source: RNAcentral